Molecule: ribosomal RNA, 462 nt
Filed under: uncultured bacterium
Lineage: Bacteria
Description: partial 16S ribosomal RNA
Rfam family: Bacterial small subunit ribosomal RNA
Source: RNAcentral
GAUGAACGCUGGCGGCGUGCCUAACACAUGCAAGUCGAGCGGAAAGGCCCUUCGCGGUACUCGAGCGGCGAACGGGCGAGUAACACGUGCGUAACCUGCUCCAGACUUUGGGAUAAUCCUCGGAAACGGGGGCUACUACCGGCUACGACACAGCUCCGCAUGGGGUCUGUGUGGACAGUUUCUCGGUAUGGGAUGGGCUCGCGGCCUAUCAGCUCGAUGGUGGGGUGAUGGCCUACCAAGGCGACGCCGGAUAGCCGGCCUGAGAGGGCGACCGGCGACAAUGCGACUGAGGGACGGAGCAGACUGCUACGGGAGGCAGCAGUGGAGAGUAUUACACAGUGAGGGGGAGCGUGAUACAGCGGCGCCGGGUUAGGGAAGACGGCCUUCGGGUUGUAAACCUCUGUCAGCAGAGACGAGGCGUAAGUGACGGUACCUGCAGAAGAAGCGCCGGCUAACUACGUG